Molecule: long non-coding RNA, 7869 nt
Filed under: Taeniopygia guttata (zebra finch)
Lineage: Eukaryota; Metazoa; Chordata; Aves; Passeriformes; Estrildidae
Description: lncRNA (ENSTGUG00000024402.1)
Source: RNAcentral
UUUUUUUUUUUUUUUUUUUUAUGAAGGGAACAUUCCUGAAACCAUCGAAGAGGCAAAAGUCCAAUAUAAGAAUUUCUAGAAUACAGCCCCAUUGAAGAACUAGGUUGUGAGAUUAAGAAUGUGUCUCACAAAGGAAAAUGUUUGAUUCUACCUUGCAAAUAUAAAAAAAAUAGUAGUUUGGUCAAACAUGAAAUCAGCCCAAAUACCUAUAGUCAUAGACUAAAGUUUCUUUGCCUUCAUUGGUUGUUUUUUUGUUGGUGGUUUUUUUGUUUGUUUGUUUGUUUGUUUUUUGGUUUGUUUGUUUUGGGGUUUUUUUUUGGUCUAAAUCUAGCUGGUUGUUGUGCUUUGGGCCAGACAGAAUAAGGGGAACGCUUUUGGUAAUUUUUCCAAGACAAAAAGCCAUUUUUCUGGGAGUUUGCUAAAAUAGGCUCAGGUCACUCUGCAGUGCAAGUGCUUGGUGUCCUUCUUUCUAUGGGGAGAAAUGGAUUGCUCUGGACAUUAAAAAUUGACCUCUCACUGGUAAGUGAUUAAGACAUACUGUGGAGGGAGUGCACCAUAGACACCAUUUCUUUUAGAUUCUGAAGUCAAACUGAAAGGUAGUAUAGCCACCAUUAACCUAAAAAAAGACCCUUACUUCUGUGGAAAAAAGACUUUUUUAAUGUAUUUAUUACAGAUUUAAAAUCUGGAACAUGAAGGCAAAGUUGUCAGCGUUGUAGUUUCUUUUUUUCUUAAUGUGAGGCUAAGUCAAUAUUUGGAAUCAUCUCAAGAAAACCAUAGACUCCUCCAAAGAAGGGACUAAUUUGAUCUCAAAUAUAUUUGCUUUAACUAUUCCAAACCAACAAAUACUGAUUUAGUCAUUAUAUAUGUUUUUCUUGAUGUAUCGGAUAUUAUAUGAAACAUUAAUUCUGUUAAACUAUUAGUCUUAUUAAGUUCUGGGAAUUCCUCUUUAGAUUAGUGAUAUUGUACCCAUCAAAGAAAUGUUAAGUAGCUUUCAAAUUUUACUUUAGAUAAAGACGUAUUUCUCAUUUUGAAUUCAUGUUUUGUUUCAUAAGGUAUCUUCAAACAAAUAACUGUUUUGUCUGUGUAAUUAGACUAAAUUUCAACCAAUUUAGCUUUAAACACCUGUGGUAUCUAACUAGGAGCCUUCUCUCCCUGAGUUCUUGGAGUCAAUAGAGGGAGAAACAGCUCCAGAAAGCAAUCUAUCCUACCUACAAUCUCAGUGUAUGUAGGCAGGUGCCAAUUGCCUAUAAAAGGCAGUCUGGGAUGGCUGUGGUCCUUAAGUUAUGAGUCUUUGCAUUAGGAUACUUUGCAUUUAGGUAAAAUGGUCCUGAGACUUAAAGCCUGAGCCAGUCUGCUGCAUCAAAAGGAAACUACCCUGGACUUGAAAUGUCUUUAAGCUCACAUCCUUAGAAAGAGAAACUAAGAGUAAAUUCAAGCAGAAAACUAAUUAAUGACUACAGUUCACACUCCUGGUUGCACUGAAGCACUUUGGGAAGCCUAUGACAAAGAUGCCACUUGCCAGACUUACUCUGCAUUGCCACUGCCACAUUCCUAAGCACAUGCAGAAUCUUCAGUGUCAUCAAACACUCCUGUUUCACUCCACAAACAAAAUUUUAAAAAUAAUUUUUUUUUUUUUUACUUCACAGUUUUUGACUUAACUGUCUUUUUUAUUUUUGUUCUCUAUAAUAUACAGCAUGGCAAUCUUUCAAUCUGCAUCCAAACAUUACCAUUUUAGAUACUUCUUUUUACUUUGUAUUCCAGGAAAUGUAGGGUUUGGAUGCUAGCCACCUUCCUCUGCUCCUGCAAAAACCUCACAACGAUCAAUGGCUCCCUGCCUAAUUAGUCCCAUCUCUCUUAUACUGUGAAUCCUUUCUAAACUGUUUUGUUACUAGAUUGGCUCUGCUCUUCAAUACCUGACAUGGAGGGUACCCAGAGAGGAGUAUUGCAGCUCUGACUGAGAGUGACUGCAAUUGUAUCCUUCCCAUUUUUAAUAACUGGUUUCUGUUCCAGCAAAACUUCUAUCAUUUCAAGUUUCAGCAGCUUUAUAGGAUUCCUAUAUAAAAGAGAUGAAUAUGUGCAAAAAUAUAGUUAAUAGAAACAAUGUGUCAUUCACUGGCACAGAUGAAUAUAGAACAUUUUUCAGAAGUUAGCAGAUUGAAUACAGUUAUUAUCUUGCAUUGCAAAUCGCUUCCUUAGUCCAUCCAGCUCUUAGCAAAGAAAGAAGCCUGAGGUCAGGCAGUCUGGCAUGAAGCUGGUAACUCUUCAAAACUGAGAACAUCUGGAGAGCUGCCUGUAGGGGCACCUUUUAUGCCAGUAAUUGCUAAUAGCCCCUGUACCACAGUUCAGAACAGGAAAUAGAAACCUUCUUUCAUGUUAAUGAUUGCUUUCUAAUUGCAUAAACAGCAAUGAGAUAGCAGUCAUUUAUAGAAGCUACUCCUCCAGCUCAGGGAGGAAAUAAUUUUUUUGUGGUGUUUCUGGUGGCAUUGCUGUGGUGAGUGUUGAGUCCAAGCUUCCAAAAGGGAGAAAGAAUAAAAUAAAAUAUAUUUUCAGCAAAACUGAAGCAUUACUCAUUGGUGGUUUUUUUUGCAUUAAAUUAAUUUUAAAAUAAAAUGGAAAAAAAAAAAAAAUACAAAUCAGAAAAUCUGGCGCUUUUUUCACUUUGGUUUUAUUAGCCUGGAGCAGAGUCAACAGUUUACAAAUCCUGAGAAACAUUUAGUUAGACUUGAUAUCAUGGUUACUGCAUCUCAUAUGAUCCUUGAAGUUGUAAAAUCAAGAUAUUACAAUCAAAAACUUUCCUAAACUUAGUAUCAUUAUGAUCUAUAUAGUCCCAAAAAGAUACACGUCACAGAAGAUGUUAGAUUUACGAGUUAUUUAUUGUCAUCACAAAAUUAAACAAAUAUUUUAUUGUAUGAUUAGCAAUACUUCACCUCAAAGACAGUUUUCAGCACAGGCUAUUCAGUUAUAAGUUAUGCUGCUAAGACAGUCUGACAGCUUGCACAAUAUUGUUGCUGUCCAAGUUAAAAGAAGUAUGCUUCAAUGAAAUCAUACUUGCUUCAUAGGAGGCCAUAGCUUUGUUUACCAAUUAAAGACAAUCUUACUGUAAUUUCAUCAUUCAUAAAUCAAAUAGCAACAAAAUAUCUAAUUUGAAUUAUAACAUUUUUAAAGCAAGAUCAUAAGAAACCAAAUCAUCACAAUGUCAGACCUUCAGUUUCCUUCAAGAUUUGUAUGUAGCAUUGCCCAGUCAUUUAAAAAGGAUUGCUAUAUAACAUAAAACAGCCUCAAGAAUACAGUAGUUAGGAUGUAGAUAUUUUGUAUACAAUGUGUGAAUCAAAAAAAAUCAAAACAUAAGGCUGUUCAAUCGAAUUAAAAUUAAAGCAAUACAAAGCAGAAGUGUGAAACACUAGACAGUAGACACAUUUCUAUAAAUACAGCUCUGUAAGAAGAAAUAAAACCACUUGUUUAGUAAAGAUCCCAAAAACACUGAGAGUUUGAAAAUGGUUGAAGUCCAUUUACAGCUUCUGGUCUGCUUUCAUUAUCCUCUGCAAACCGGUCAUAUGAUUCACUAUGAGUUUUGUCAUUUAAUUUUAUCUGUUAUACUGAAUGGAAAUGUUGUCUAGAUGGGACAGCAGUCCUUCCAAACCCCUUACUGUACUCUUCUAUUUCAUCCUCCAGUUAUAGCAAUUAGGGCAGAAGGUAAUGUAACAUGGAAGGCUUUAAAAAAAAAGAGUAGCACCGUGCAGCGUAACUACUGAUGUCUGAUUCCCGACCCGUUCUAUGUCUAAGGAAGGGUGAUCUCAUUAGCUUCCUUCACAGUGAAUAAUAAUAGGAUGUUUAGUCUCCAGCCACUUGCUAGUUUUCAUGACAUUAUAAACCUGCUUAUCUUUAGUCUUUUACCCCUCUAAAAUUACACUCAAGAAUUAGUGUGAGUUUGACAGACAGAGUGACAUUGGAAAUUACUGUAUUCACUCUAUUUUGAAAUUUACUCAAUUAACCUGGAAAACCAUUCAACAAAUUGCCAUUUUUCUAUAUUUUGAUGGUUCAUCCUGAGAAAUUCUGUCCAGCUUGCUCAAGAAAAGAGAGAUCUGGACACAUUGUUUUCCAUUCUCUUUAUAGACUUUGACAUUUCACCCCCUUUAGGUGAAACUGGUUACAUUAGGCAGUUGCAAUUAACAGCACAAAGGCUGCCCUUGUCUGGUUGCCAUAACCGUGAACUACAUCAAAGGAUUAUAACUGAGAAGUGUGAAUCCCUCUGCAGCUUUUCCACAGCUGCUAGAGUAAAUAAUUGCAGCCACUAGCCCGAGGUGUGUGCAGAUCAGCUGUUCUUGAGCACCAGCCCUUUAGUGGCCUAUCCCCUUCUGAGACCCUAGUCCAGACAGCUCAAGCACUUUGUAGCUUUUUGGGAUCUCAGGAAAGCAUUCCAUAACAGACUUGUGUGCAUGUGUGCACAUGUUUAGGAGAACACCAUAAAAACCAAGCACACUAUAGGUUGUUCAUUAUCAUCAUGAUUUAUUAUGAAAAAUGCCUAUUUCAAAGGUAGAAUUAGUUGUUAAUAUCAUUCAUAUUGCUGACAAACUCUUUCUCUUAUGAAAGAAACACUUUUUCUAUCAUAAAUAUUCUCCUGAUCUCUUUUCUUUGACUGACAGAAACAAAGUGCAAUAAAGAAUUAAUGUUUCUUUUUUUUCUGUUUAAUGUCAUCAUGAGUGUACCUGCCUUUCUUCUGAAUUCAUGAUCUCCUAUUGUGUUUCAUUGCAUAUGGAAAGCUCAAAUACAUAUCUGGUUACAUUUAUUCAACCUUUUAGGAAAUUACAGAAUCCAAUAUUAUGUUUGAAUAAUAGAUAUUUUGCCAUUUGGUUUGUUGAAAUGUAAAUACCAUGACUCUAUGUAAAACAGAAAUGACAGAUGGAGAAAGUUGUACAUGCAUACACUCUCAUAGAAAAGUGAGAAAUGUGUGUUUGUGUCAUUUCAAGCUUGAUCUAGAGAAGUUUCGCAUACAGAAAUACAUUUUUUCAUGGUAAAAGGAAAGGUAGAUAGACUACAGUUAUUGUUUUCUGGAUUUCUUUGUUUUGUAUUAGAUAUGUAGUUGCCAAGAUGGUACCUUUUCAAAGAAAAGAUUCUAUAGUUGGCAGUAGAAUAGUAGAAUUGCAAAUAACUGCUUUUAUUUAAUUUUUCCCCCAGUUCAUUCCCUGAACAAAAGAACUAUAUACCCCCAAAACACUGUUGUAUAUUGACCCAGAGCUAAAGUUCAUUAAUUACACCACUGAAAGAAAAGAAUGAAAUCAAAUUAACAUAGUCACAAAAUUUUGUUAGAAAUAUUUCAUUUGGAUUUUUUUACUUUAAUUUUUCCUGAAUUUUGGCAUUUAAUAAAAUAAAAAGUCAUUUCAAAACAAUGAAAAAUAAAUGUAAAAAAAACAGGUUCUCAUAUUUCCCCUUUCAUACAAAUCUGUCAAAAGUUAUUUUUACCCAAAGGCUUUUUUCAGAGAAAAAUAAAAAUCAUAAACAGAGAUUUCCUAUUAGCUGUAGACUUUUCAAAACUUAUUACUUAAUUUUAUCUUUGAUAGAGGUUUUGUAUUUGGUUCUGGUCUGUAGUAACAGCUAAUACAAAGGUUGCUGUCCGUGUAAGUACCACAAGUUUUAGCAGGGCUUGUUGUGAACACAGGGAGAUUCAUUGCAGAAAUCUUACUGGAGAAACAAGGCCCAGUUUUAAAAUAUGAUUCCUUGUGCAAGGACCCAUCUGUAAGCAAGAACUUACCCACAGUGAAUGUUGUCUUAGGAAAGAAACCUGUGGGAUAUGGAAGCCACUUGGAAAAUCCUUUAUUAUUUGAUGAAAAAUAUGCAUGCUUCCCUUACAGCUUUGUGCUAUGCUGUUCAGUUAAGACUAUAAUUGUGAAAGUAAACAUUUUUUAGGCUUUCAUCCUCCCAGCAACUGAAAACAUGAUUAAUGCUACACUCAUUAAUAGGUAUCUUUACCCUGAAGAGCUAUCCAGAAUAUAUGCAUAAGUUUCAAAAUAGUUGUAUGAAAACUUACUUGUGUCUUGAACACUCUUUAUCUCUAUUUUUAUGCUGGCUGAGUGUUUUAUGUUUUACAGUGCAACUAAUACAUGUAAUAAGCCAAUAAGGGUUCUGAUUAUACUUCUGUAACUCUUACUCCUUGACAUGAAAUCUUUCUCCUACUGUGUAAGUAAGAUUAAUUUGUAAUUUUAUAUGCUUACUGACAUCUCCCACAGUGUUCAAAGUAGGCUAAAUAUGUAACGUCUUGAGUACAACUUAGGCCUAAAUUAUAGAAAUUAAACAGCCUUGUCCACACUAUUUCAUAUGACUGUAGCUAAGAGAAAAAAAAAAGAUCACUUUGUUUAUUGUUCAGGAAAAUACAAAUAAACAAAAAAACCCAAACUCGUGACUUGGUAGGUUUACAAAUGUCAGCUGCAAAGAACAGCUUUUUUUUUUUUUUGCUAGUGACAAUGGGAAAUCCUAAUAUUUAUAUUUGAUGGCAUUGCAAGGUUAUAAUGAAGACUGUUAGCAACAUGAAUUGUUACUCAGUGUUAAUAAAGAAUCAGCUCUAGGGAGGAAGCUGAAGAUGCAGAGGCUCUCUAAAGGCACAUUACAUGGUGGGAUGCAUCUCAUCUAAGUUUUAUCACCUUAAAAUGAAGAACUGAAUUCAAGACAGUAUUCUGAGUUCUUGUAUUCUUGAUAAAGGCAAGUAAUUGCAUCUCACCUUUUCUUGCAGUAUUAUUCAGUGGAUCGUCUUUUACUCCUAUUAUUUGUUAUAUUACUGAAUAAAAGAAAAAUAGUAAAAUGGAUUCCAGGAGGUUUUAAUGAGCUAUCUGUAAAUCCCUUUUGCAUAAAGGGUUAUUUUGUGAGAGCAAGAGGACAGCCUUAAAAUACUUGUUACUCAUUAAAACAUAAAAAAGGUUGUGUACUAAAAAGUGAAUCACGGCCUCAAACAGAAAAAUCUACUGAUGUGCUGCAAAGCUGUUUAUAUCAUAUGUCCUAAGUCACCAUUCCUUCCGUGUCAUGUAAACACUGUUAGAAAAUCCUAUGCUAUUGCACGAACCUUCCAUGCAUAUAACGUAGUGUAGAAAAGGGAAACUACAGCUUUGAUAGGAUUAAAUUAUACAACUAAUCCUUUUUGUUCCAGAUGUCAAUACGUAAAAGCAAUAUCAGAGACUCAAAUGCAGAACCUGAUAUAUAAUUUUAAUCCCUCUUCCUGUGCUGCAGGUUACAGAUUUGGAAAUUAUAGCAUGUAGAAGCUUCUAAAACUGGACUUCUUUCUCAUUAUUUAAUAUCCACUACUGAUAAUAGUAAACAUUUUACUGAGUUCUUUUGGAAUUCAGUGUGUCAGUACUAAAUGAAUUGCAAAUUGGUUAUACAAAAUGAUGGAGAGAGUUCAGCAUUUUAUGGCAGGUGAAAAGCAUGUCACACAUACUGACUUUCCAUCUGUGACGGCAUACCUAGACAUUGCCAAACUAAAAACUAGGCAGCAUGCAACCCCUGAGAAGAAAAAGUGCAAUGUGCAUUUAAUUUCACCAAGAGAAUCGGCACAUGCCACAAAAUACAUAAACAAUUAUUUCAAAAUCACUAUUUUAUGUGAAUGAAUAUAGGUAUGCCUAUGUGUAUACACACAUACAUAUGUAUGAAUUCUAUAUGUGUAUGUAUUAUUUGCUUGGGUAUUGUGUUUCUUUCUUGUAGAGACAAUCUUGUGUGACUGUAACAGCUUACAUGUUAGGUAUAUGCUAGAGUGCACUUUUUGCAGAUGCCAAAUGGCAAAAGUAUAUAUACAUUCUAUAACAUCUAUACAGAGUCUGAUAAUUUUCUAGUGCAGAGAAGUUCCUCAUUGUGUGAAGAUUGCAAAAAAAAAAAAAAAAAAAAAAA